Molecule: non-coding RNA, 46 nt
Organism: Acyrthosiphon pisum (pea aphid)
Lineage: Eukaryota; Metazoa; Arthropoda; Insecta; Hemiptera; Aphididae
Source: Rfam
AAAACGGUCCUUUUAAGGACCAGCUCUAAUAAUGAUUUCGAUUAAU